RNAcentral lists this ribosomal RNA (441 nucleotides) under uncultured Alphaproteobacteria bacterium. RNAcentral's name for it is "bacterial SSU rRNA". It matches the Rfam family "Bacterial small subunit ribosomal RNA", at positions 338 to 795 of the family's 1533-position model. Lineage: Bacteria; Pseudomonadati; Pseudomonadota; Alphaproteobacteria. The record is from RNAcentral.
CCUACGGGAGGCUGCAGUGGGGAAUCUUGCGCAAUGGGCGAAAGCCUGACGCAGCCAUGCCGCGUGAAUGAUGAAGGUCUUAGGAUUGUAAAGUUCUUUCGCUCGUGACGAUGAUGACGGUAACGAGAGAAGAAGCCCCGGCUAACUUCGUGCCAGCAGCCGCGGUAAUACGAAGGGGGCUAGCGUUGUUCGGAAUUACUGGGCGUAAAGCGCGCGUAGGCGGUUUUGCAAGCCAGAGGUGAAAUGCCUGAGCUCAACUUAGGAAUUGCCUUUGGGACUGCGAGGCUUUGAGGACUGGAGAGGUGAGUGGAAUUCCCAGUGUAGAGGUGAAAUUCGUAGAUAUUGGGAAGAACACCAGUGGCGAAGGCGGCUCACUGGCCAGUUUCUGACGCUGCAGCGCGAAAGCGUGGGGAUCAAACAGGCUUAGAUACCCGAGUAGUC